Trichobilharzia regenti is the source of this 46-nucleotide non-coding RNA. The record is from Rfam. NCBI's taxonomy places the organism in Eukaryota, Metazoa, Platyhelminthes, Trematoda, Strigeidida, Schistosomatidae.
GUACUGCUGAAGUGUCCCAGACUAGAACGGAACAGAUGUCCAGUAC